UUUUUCUGGAAAAACGAAAUUCCUUGUCGGGUAAGUUCCGACCUGCACGAAUGGCGUAACGACUUCUCAACUGUCUCAACCAUAGACUCGGCGAAAUUGCACUACGAGUAAAGAUGCUCGUUACGCGCGGCAGGACGAAAAGACCCCGGGACCUUCACUAUAGCUUGGUAUUGGCGUUUGGUUCGGUUUGUGUAGGAUAGGUGGGAGACUGUGAAGCAGGCACGCCAGUGUUUGUGGAGUCAUCGUUGAAAUACCACUCUGAUCGUAUUGAACCUCUAACCUCGGACCGUAUAUCCGGUCCAGGGACAGUGCCUGGUGGGUAGUUUAACUGGGGCGGUUGCCUCCCAAAAUGUAACGGAGGCGCCCAAAGGUUCCCUCAACCUGGACGGCAAUCAGGUGUUGAGUGCAAGUGCACAAGGGAGCUUGACUGCGAGACCUACAAGUCAAGCAGGGACGAAAGUCGGGACUAGUGAUCCGGCACCUCUGAGUGGAAGGGGUGUCGCUCAACGGAUAAAAGGUACCCCGGGGAUAACAGGCUGAUCUUCCCCAAGAGUCCAUAUCGACGGGAUGGUUUGGCACCUCGAUGUCGGCUCGUCGCAUCCUGGGGCUGGAGCAGGUCCCAAGGGUUGGGCUGUUCGCCCAUUAAAGCGGCACGCGAGCUGGGUUUAGAACGUCGUGAGACAGUUCGGUCUCUAUCCGCCGCGCGCGUCAGAAACUUGAGGAAACCUGUCCCUAGUACGAGAGGACCGGGACGGACGAACCUCUGGUGUACCAGUUGUUCCACCAGGAGCACGGCUGGAUAGCUACGUCGAUCAUCCGA
RNAcentral lists this ribosomal RNA (820 nucleotides) under Mycobacteroides abscessus subsp. abscessus. RNAcentral's name for it is "bacterial LSU rRNA". It matches the Rfam family "Bacterial large subunit ribosomal RNA", at positions 1946 to 2766 of the family's 2925-position model. The record is from RNAcentral. Lineage: Bacteria; Bacillati; Actinomycetota; Actinomycetes; Mycobacteriales; Mycobacteriaceae.